RNAcentral lists this long non-coding RNA (586 nucleotides) under Sorghum bicolor (sorghum). RNAcentral's name for it is "long non-coding RNA (SBIC_LNC001338)". Lineage: Eukaryota; Viridiplantae; Streptophyta; Magnoliopsida; Poales; Poaceae. The record is from RNAcentral.
AUGGGUUCUUGGCCUAACACACUUGUAUUCCAUGACACCAAACACCGAACCUACCUACCCUGUAUCUUUUCUUUUUUUUUGCUUGAUUCUCUUCUAUCUACUAGCCCAUCACUCUAUAGGGAUUAGCAAUUUUAAAAUGUACCUUGUUUUAAAAGAGACAUAAUUAAGUAUUAUUAGGUCAACAACUUAUCAAUAUCUUUAUUUCGUCUCUGCCAUCUGCUCAUUUUUCAACAAAUACACAUAACUGCCUUUUGCUUUCAAUCCACUUUGUGAAUUUGUCUAUCGCGGUGAGAAUGUGGAUAAUGACCACAUGAUUGGGAUCGUCUGCGUUCCUGGGCAAAGAUGUGUGUUUGAUGAGUAUGGAAUUAACAACCUUCGAUGUGAUCUUGACAUAUGUGACUGUUGUUGGCCAAUAAAAAUCCCAUCGAAAGGCUUUGCCAACUAGUAGAGACUAGAGCACCGCAUGAUCGGCAGCAAACGCUUGAGUGAUGUCGCAUAGAAGUUGUUUUCCUUCUUCCCGAGCAAUGCAUCAAGAUUUUGUGCCUGAGUGUCUGAUCGGUAGAGUUCAAAUCACUGACUACUACAA